RNAcentral lists this small RNA (132 nucleotides) under Citrobacter freundii. RNAcentral describes it as "RtT sRNA". It matches the Rfam family "RtT RNA". Rfam says of the family: This family represents a bacterial cis-regulatory element known as RtT RNA. Lineage: Bacteria; Pseudomonadati; Pseudomonadota; Gammaproteobacteria; Enterobacterales; Enterobacteriaceae. RNAcentral also lists the same sequence under 1 other name. The record is from RNAcentral.
UAUUCUUCCUAUGCGGGAAGGAUGAGAAGCUUCGACUAAGGUUCGAUUCGAGCGUUAGCGAGAAAGCGUUGCCGCAGGCAACGACCCGAAGGGCGAAGCGCGCAGCGCUGAGUAAUCCUUCCCCCACCACCA